Molecule: ribosomal RNA, 560 nt
Filed under: uncultured bacterium
Lineage: Bacteria
Description: partial 16S ribosomal RNA
Rfam family: Bacterial small subunit ribosomal RNA
Source: RNAcentral
UGGGAAUUUGGACAAUGGGCGAAAGCCUGAUCCAGCAAUGCCGCGUGUGUGAAGAAGGCCUUCGGGUUGUAAAGCACUUUUGUCCGGAAAGAAAUCCUUGGCUCUAAUACAGUCGGGGGAUGACGGUACCGGAAGAAUAAGCACCGGCUAACUACGUGCCAGCAGCCGCGGUAAUACGUAGGGUGCAAGCGUUAAUCGGAAUUACUGGGCGUAAAGCGUGCGCAGGCGGUUUGCUAAGACCGAUGUGAAAUCCCCGGGCUCAACCUGGGAACUGCAUUGGUGACUGGCAGGCUAGAGUAUGGCAGAGGGGGGUAGAAUUCCACGUGUAGCAGUGAAAUGCGUAGAGAUGUGGAGGAAUACCGAUGGCGAAGGCAGCCCCCUGGGCCAAUACUGACGCUCAUGCACGAAAGCGUGGGGAGCAAACAGGAUUAGAUACCCUGGUAGUCCACGCCCUAAACGAUGUCAACUAGUUGUUGGGGGAUUCAUUUCCUUAGUAACGUAGCUAACGCGUGAAGUUGACCGCCUGGGGAGUACGGUCGCAAGAUUAAAACUCAAAGGAA